CAGUAGCCGCGGGAAAACGAAGGGGGCUAGCGUUGUUCGGAAUUACUGGGCGUAAAGCGCACGUAGGCGGAUAUUUAAGUCAGGGGUGAAAUCCCGCAGCUCAACUGCGGAACUGCCUUUGAUACUGGGUAUCUUGAGUAUGGAAGAGGUUAGUGGAAUUGCGAGUGUAGAGGUGAAAUUCGUAGAUAUUCGCAGGAACACCAGUGCGAAGGCGGCUAACUGGUCCAUAACUGACGCUGAGGUGCGAAAGCGUGGGGAGCAAACAGGAUUAGAUACCCCGGUAGUCCCUGUCUCUUAUACA
Molecule: ribosomal RNA, 301 nt
Filed under: uncultured bacterium
Lineage: Bacteria
Description: partial 16S ribosomal RNA
Rfam family: Bacterial small subunit ribosomal RNA
Source: RNAcentral